GUGGGGAAUCUUGCGCAAUGGGCGAAAGCCUGACGCAGCCAUGCCGCGUGAAUGAUGAAGGUCUUAGGAUUGUAAAAUUCUUUCACCGGGGACGAUAAUGACGGUACCCGGAGAAGAAGCCCCGGCUAACUUCGUGCCAGCAGCCGCGGUAAUACGAAGGGGGCUAGCGUUGCUCGGAAUUACUGGGCGUAAAGGGCGCGUAGGCGGACAGUUUAGUCAGAGGUGAAAGCCCAGGGCUCAACCUUGGAAUUGCCUUUGAUACUGGCUGUCUUGAGUACGGGAGAGGUGAGUGGAACUCCGGGUGUAGAGGUGAAAUUCGUAGAUAUUCGGAAGAACACCAGUGGCGAAGGCGACUCACUGGCCCGUUACUGACGCUGAGGCGCGAAAGCGUGGGGAGCAAACAGGAUUAGAAACCCGUGUAGUCC
Molecule: ribosomal RNA, 425 nt
Filed under: uncultured bacterium
Lineage: Bacteria
Description: partial 16S ribosomal RNA
Rfam family: Bacterial small subunit ribosomal RNA
Source: RNAcentral